Molecule: ribosomal RNA, 497 nt
Filed under: uncultured bacterium
Lineage: Bacteria
Description: partial 16S ribosomal RNA
Rfam family: Bacterial small subunit ribosomal RNA
Source: RNAcentral
GAUGAACGCUGGCGGCGUGCCUAAUACAUGCAAGUAGAACGCUGAAGGAAGGAGCUUGCUCUUUCCGGAUGAGUUGCGAACGGGUGAGUAACGCGUAGGUAACCUGCCUGGUAGCGGGGGAUAACUAUUGGAAACGAUAGCUAAUACCGCAUAACAGUAGAUGUUGCAUGAUAUCUACUUAAAAGGUGCAAUUGCACCACUACCAGAUGGACCUGCGUUGUAUUAGCUAGUUGGUGAGGUAACGGCUCACCAAGGCGACGAUACAUAGCCGACCUGAGAGGGUGAUCGGCCACACUGGGACUGAGACACGGCCCAGACUCCUACGGGAGGCAGCAGUAGGGAAUCUUCGGCAAUGGACGGAAGUCUGACCGAGCAACGCCGCGGGAGUGAAGAAGGUUGUCGGAUCGUAAAGCUCGGUUGUAAGAGAAGAACGAGUGUGAGAGUGGAAAGUUCACACUGUGACGGUAUCUUACCAGAAAGGGACGGCUAACUACGUG